UACGUAGGGUGCGAGCGUUAAUCGGAAUUACUGGGCGUAAAGCGUGCGCAGGCGGCGCGUUAAGACAGGUGUGAAAGCCCCGAGCUUAACUUGGGAAUUGCGCUUGUGACUGGCGUGCUGGAGUGUGGCAGAGGGAGGUGGAAUUCCACGUGUAGCAGUGAAAUGCGUAGAGAUGUGGAGGAACACCGAUGGCGAAGGCAGCCUCCUGGUCCAGCACUGACGCUCAUGCACGAAAGCGUGGGGAGCAAACAGG
RNAcentral lists this ribosomal RNA (253 nucleotides) under uncultured bacterium. RNAcentral's name for it is "partial 16S ribosomal RNA". It matches the Rfam family "Bacterial small subunit ribosomal RNA", at positions 524 to 776 of the family's 1533-position model. The record is from RNAcentral.